AACUCCAACCGCUGGGAGGUCAGGCACUAGUCGGCCCCCAAAUUGGAGAGGACCGAGCUGAGUGACAGGGCGGUGCGCGCUGGGGCUGAGCGCAGAAAGAGGCGGAGGGGUUUGCCUGCGUGUGUGCGUGAGGCCAGGGGUGGGGGCGGGCACUCCCACCGCACAAGCCGCUGGAGUUGGGGGGCAAGCGCGUUGGUGACGCGGGGCCCUCACGUGAUCUGAAGCUGCAGAGCGACGCAGCCUUCGGUGCAGUCGUCAUUCCCGUCUGGGUACCCGGCUCCCCGCUGCCCUGCGCCUGGCGGGCUGGCAUCGGGCCCGAGGCAAGAGGAGCAGGUCUGCGGUGUAGGUGUCAAGUGUCGCAGCGGCGCACUUACGGCGAGAAUCGGCAGAAGGAGGAGACAGCAAGGAUAGGCCCAGAAAAACAACCA
RNAcentral lists this long non-coding RNA (428 nucleotides) under Ursus americanus (American black bear). RNAcentral's name for it is "lncRNA (ENSUAMG00000007192.1)". The record is from RNAcentral. Lineage: Eukaryota; Metazoa; Chordata; Mammalia; Carnivora; Ursidae.